CCACCCCACCCCCUACCUCCAGACCUCCCCAACUCCUCGCCUCCCCACCUCGCUGCCUCUUGGCGUCAGCGAAGGCUCUGCUGCCUGCAGGGCAGAGAGGAGAGGGAGGAGGCCAGCGAGAGGGAGCCUCUGUCGGGGCGUGGGAGGAAAGCAAGAUAACGCAGGCGACCCGAGAAGGACGGUGAAUCUGACUGGCCAGACUGGGAAGUAGGCGAAGGGGAAGCAGCGAUACUGGGAAGGUCCAGGCCUUCCAGAGGCUGGGGUUCAUCUAGAGACCUGCUGAGGAGGGGCCACACUCGCCUCUUUUGCUCGCAGCAAUCUAUUCUGCCAGGGGAUUCCCUGGAACACAAGAAUCCUGGGGCUCUAAGGGACCCUAAAGAGCGUCUGGUCCUGCUCCUUCCUUCAUCCGUGACGAAACUUGGGAUGGGAAGGCUGUUCAUGCUGGGUUUCCUCUGGGAGUGAGACCUCAAGACAACUGUGGCAGUUCCUGAUAGAAACACUAAAUAAACGAGGUCCUCUGUGGCAAGGGCUAACGCUUCCAGAAGCUUCUGAAUAGAUCAUUCUAUUUGACAAACAGUUAUAAAAUGCACACUAUUACCAAACACUGUGCUAGAUGGUGGUAAGAGAAGCAUGACUAGAAUGGAAUGUUAGGCUUUUUGAAGCUUAUAAAUAAGUGGGUGAAAUUGGUCAUGAUUAACUUUGACGUAUGAUAGUGGUGGUGAGUAAUCAGGCAGAGGUUUGCCCAGAGUGCUAUAGGAGCCAGCAGCUUGGAGAUCCAGGGAGGCUUCUUACAGGAAGUGACCCUUGGUGUGGGAAGGGUUUUCCAUAAAGGGAAGACAGCAUGAGCAAAAGCUCAGAGACAUUAAUCAGCACCGAUUGAAUCAUUCAUUCAUGUCUACAAUAAUCACCACUCACUAGGUGCAAAGUAAUGUACAGAAUCUAUGCAAGCCACAUCUAGCAUAGAUAAUAAGUUAUCAUUUCUAUAAUCAAGUUGAUUCCAAU
Molecule: long non-coding RNA, 1002 nt
Filed under: Homo sapiens (human)
Lineage: Eukaryota; Metazoa; Chordata; Mammalia; Primates; Hominidae
Description: HSALNT0183963
Source: RNAcentral